RNAcentral lists this ribosomal RNA (502 nucleotides) under Asiagomphus melaenops. Its description in RNAcentral is "partial 12S ribosomal RNA". The record is from RNAcentral. Lineage: Eukaryota; Metazoa; Arthropoda; Insecta; Odonata; Aeshnidae.
GAAGAAGUAAAUAUUCUUGGUGCAGUAGUUAAUUUUAUCUUUAGUUUAUUAAAAUAAAAAUUUUUAGGUGAAAUUUUAAUUUUUUAAUAUUUAUGUUGGAUGAAGCUAUGAAAUUUAUUUGAAAGACGAGGAUUAGAUACCCUUUUAUUAUAAAUGUUAAUUUUGCAACCAGGGUAGUAAUAGUUAUGUUCUUGAAACCCAAAGAAUUUGGCGGUAUUUUAGUCCUUUCAGAGGAAUCUGUCCCGUAAUCGACAUUCCACGAGAUGAUUUACUUAUUUUUGUAGUUCAGUUUGUAUACCUCCGUCAUAAGAAGAUCUUUUUAGAGAUAAAAUUUUCUUAAUAUAUUAAAUGUAAUAUGUCAGGUCAAGGUGCAAUUUAUGAAUAAGAGGAGAUGGAUUACAAUAAAUUUAUUUAAAUGGAUUGAAUUAUUUAAUUUUUUAUGAAGGGGAUUUGAUAGUAAUUUUAAUUAUUUGUUAUUAMAUUUGGCUCUAAAGUAUCCAAC